AGCGUUCAAGUCAAGCUGAAAACACCUGUUCUCGUUCGAUCACCAAAGUUAAGCAACGUCAAGUUGGGGGAAUUCUUUGAUGGUGGACCACUUGUGAACCCCGUAUGCAG
Molecule: non-coding RNA, 110 nt
Organism: Acanthosepion pharaonis
Lineage: Eukaryota; Metazoa; Mollusca; Cephalopoda; Sepiida; Sepiidae
Source: the annotation of a GenBank genome assembly